GGAAGACUUCAUCUUCCACUCGGAUAUGAGCUUCUACUGCGGAUUAUCUGCAUAUUAUCCACGUGGAGGCAACAUUCAAACAGAAGGGGUGAAAUAUCAUAAUUAUAUAAAGGAAAACAUGAUAAUAAGUAAGCAUCAGAUUAUCACAUGCAUAUCACCCAUUCCACAACACAAUUCCACAUAACAACUAUCCACACAUAAUAACAACC
RNAcentral lists this long non-coding RNA (209 nucleotides) under Lathyrus oleraceus (garden pea). Its description in RNAcentral is "Pisum sativum (pea) long non-coding RNA (PSAT_LNC012885)". The record is from RNAcentral. Lineage: Eukaryota; Viridiplantae; Streptophyta; Magnoliopsida; Fabales; Fabaceae.